This 798-nucleotide ribosomal RNA is filed under the name uncultured Glomeromycotina. Its description in RNAcentral is "SSU rRNA". It matches the Rfam family "Eukaryotic small subunit ribosomal RNA", at positions 314 to 1114 of the family's 1831-position model. The record is from RNAcentral. Lineage: Eukaryota; Fungi; Glomeromycota.
AUCAACUUUCGAUGGUAGGAUAGAGGCCUACCAUGGUGGUAACGGGUAACGGGGUGUUAGGGCACGACACCGGAGAGGGAGCCUGAGAAACGGCUACCACAUCCAAGGAUGGCAGCAGGCGCGCAAAUUACCCAAUCCCGACACGGGGAGGUAGUGACAAUAAAUAACAAUACGGGGUUCUUUCGGAUUUCGUAAUUGGAAUGAGUACAAUUUAAAUCUCUUAACGAGGAACAAUUGGAGGGCAAGUCUGGUGCCAGCAGCCGCGGUAAUUCCAGCUCCAAUAGCGUAUAUUAAAGUUGUUGCAGUUAAAAAGCUCGUAGUUGAAUUUCGGGAUCAAAUUGUCGGUCGUGCCUCGGUACGUACUGGCAUUAUUGGUUCCUCCCUUCUGACGAACCACGAUGUCAUUAAUUUGGUGUCAUGGGAAAUCAGGACUGUUACUUUGAAAAAAUUAGAGUGUUUAAAGCAGGCUCGCGCUUGAAUACAUUAGCAUGGAAUAAUGAAAUAGGACGUUUGAUUCUAUUUUGUUGGUUUCUAGGAUCGACGUAAUGAUUAAUAGGGAUAGUUGGGGGCAUUAGUAUUCAAUUGUCAGAGGUGAAAUUCUUGGAUUUAUUGAAGACUAACUACUGCGAAAGCAUUUGCCAAGGAUGUUUUCAUUAAUCAAGAACGAAAGUUAGGGGAUCGAAGACGAUCAGAUACCGUCGUAGUCUUAACCAUAAACUAUGCCGACUAGGGAUCGGAUGAUGUUAAUUUUUUAAUGACUCAUUCGGCGCCUUACGGGAAACCAAAGUGUUUGGGUUC